This 2281-nucleotide long non-coding RNA is filed under the name Gopherus agassizii (Agassiz's desert tortoise). RNAcentral describes it as "lncRNA (ENSGAGG00000020589.1)". Lineage: Eukaryota; Metazoa; Chordata; Testudines; Testudinidae. The record is from RNAcentral.
UUAGGCUCCGCCCACCCGCUUCCGGAACUGGCCUAUAAAAGGGGGUCCAGCGGCGCGGGCCGCUCUUUCUUGGCUGUUGUCGCCGCCAUUUUGUGUUAGGCCGGAGGCUGCUGCCGCCAUCCGCCGCCAUCCGCGGGCGCUGAGCCCGGGCCGCCAUGAGAGCGAAGUGGCGAAAGAAGCGUAUGCGCAGGUACGUGAGCCUCUGUUCUGUCCGGCUGGGGCUGGGGGCUUGCCCAGCGGGCGCCUAUGCUAAUGAUGUAAAUGGUUUGUAUAAAUCUACGUCUUGUGUGCUGGGCCCUGCAGGAGUGUAGUAAUGGGCCUGGCGGAGAUGGUUGAUCAGACUUGGGGAGUGGGGAAAAACUUGAGUUGGGUGUAGUAAUGUUAGCACUGCAUCCCACAUCCCUCAGGCUAACUGAGGAUAGUUAGAAUACCUUUAUUUGUCAUGUCUAGAGGCCUCAGCUGAAAUUGGGAGCCCAUUAUGCUAGACCCUCUGAAAACUCAGACACUGGCCUUGCCCAAAGAGUUUGCAGGCUAAACUGACAAGACAAGCAGGAGGGUGUAGGGGGUAAAGUUCUGUUGUAGGAUAUGGGUUAAAUUCCUGUUUCUACUGCACAUGUGUUUGUAUGACCUUGAGUAAGUGUUUUGUGCCUCCAUUUCUCAUCUGUAAAAUGGUGAUAAGUCUGCUGCAGGGCGGGGAGUAAAGAGAGAGGAACAUGGAUGCAUGUGAAGUGCUUUCUGGUGUAUGCUGUUCUAAACCUCUAACAGACUGCAUCAUUGUAAACACUGCUUUUCAUAGAUUCAUAGACUCUAGGACUGGAAGGNAGUCCCCUGCCCUCAUGACAGGACCAAAUACUGUCUAGACCAUCCCUAAUAGACAUUUAUCUAACCUACUCUUAAAUAUCUCCAGAGAUGGAGAUUCCACAACCUCCCUAGGCAAUUUAUUCCAGCGUUUAACUACCCUACAGGAACUUUUUCCUAAUGUUCAACCUAAAUCUCCCUUUCUGCAGUUUAAGCCCAUUGCUUCUUGCUCUAUCCUUAGAGGCUAAGGUGAACAAGUUUUCGCCCUCCUCCUGAUGACAUCCUUUUAGAUACCUGAAAACUGCUAUCAUGUCCCCUCUCAGUCUUCUCUUUUCCAAACUAAACAAACCCAAUUCUUUCAGCCUUCCUUCAUAGGUCAUGUUCUCAAGACCUUUAAUCAUUCUUGAUGCUCUUCUCUGGACCCUCUCCAAUUUCCUUGUGGGGGGGUGUAGAACUAAACCUAUUUCACUUCCAAUGGAUAUUUCUUAGCUCGUCUGGCAGUGCUGUAAGUAUAAGAGCAGCCAGGCCAGCUCAGAGCUAAAACUGCCGGUCUGCUCUGGCUUUGGUGUAACAAGCUGUUGUGUUAGGUAUGGCAGGUAAGGAUGAUGGGCCAAAUUUAUUGCAGGAGUUAGUACAUCGGGUUUACACAAGUCUUAUUGUAUGUCUUUAAAAGAAGCCAUUAAAACACUGUAGCAAAGAUGCAAAGUUCCUUUUCCAAAGCAAGUAAAGAUGCAUUUGUUACUGUAUUUAGCAGCUUAGUUUUCUGCUCUACUUUUAAAUAAGGUCUGAAACUUGAGUUAAAACUCUGAAAAGGCAGGCAGGAAUUGGCUUAAGUUUAGCCUCUCUACUGAAGUGCUGUCCUUGUUGGUCUUCUGUUUCAUUGUCCACAGAAAUGUGGACAGGUUACUCAGUUUCUGGUAACUUCACUGUGCGGUUCUUUGCACUAGGACAAGGCAGCAGUUAGAUGUUGGACAUUGUGUUGUCAUUCUCUUUAAAAACUGCAUGUUGCAUCUUUUUUCCAAAACUAUUGACAUGCUUGUUCUGACACAAAAGGGGUUUGGCCUGAUAAUGACUCAUUCAAAGUCCUUUUAACCAGGUUGGCUGCCUGCUGUGGAAUGUCUGAUAGAAUAUCAGCAUGGUAACAAAGCUUUAUCUGAUGGGGUAACAUUGUCUUUCUCAGGCUGAAGCGCAAAAGGAGAAAGAUGAGGCAGAGGUCUAAGUAGAUGACUUCUCUGCUGCUACUGAGGCUGCAAAGCAGAGCAAAGAAACGUUGGAGCUUGGGAUGCAGCCCUCCAGACACAACUACUUCCUGGUGUUGCAGGAGUGCUUUCCUACCAGUCUUCAAGAGUUUUCCAUCUUAAGAAUGAAGGUCUCAUCCAUAUGGGUGGUAGCCCUGAGCUUUCACGUUCUGGACUGGUUCUGGUCUUUGUAGUUGAAUGUAGCAGGUAUACAAUAAAUAAAACCUGGUUUGGUUGGGAAUUCA